UACGGAGGGUGCAAGCGUUAUCCGGAUUUACUGGGUUUAAAGGGUGCGUAGGUGGAUAAGUAAGUCAGUGGUGAAAUCUCCGGGCUUAACCCGGAAACUGCCAUUGAUACUAUCUGUCUUGAAUACCGUGGAGGUCAGCGGAAUAUGUCAUGUAGCGGUGAAAUGCUUAGAUAUGACAUAGAACACCCAUUGCGAAGGCAGCUGGCUACACGAAUAUUGACACUGAUGCACGAAAGCGUGGGGAUCAAACAGG
RNAcentral lists this ribosomal RNA (253 nucleotides) under uncultured bacterium. RNAcentral's name for it is "partial 16S ribosomal RNA". It matches the Rfam family "Bacterial small subunit ribosomal RNA", at positions 524 to 776 of the family's 1533-position model. The record is from RNAcentral.